RNAcentral lists this long non-coding RNA (2128 nucleotides) under Homo sapiens (human). RNAcentral describes it as "non-protein coding lnc-SGTB-4:8". The record is from RNAcentral. Lineage: Eukaryota; Metazoa; Chordata; Mammalia; Primates; Hominidae.
AGUUCCUUGAAAAUGUGGACUUCUCUGCAGGCCUUCUGGAGUGUCCUCCUGACAGCAACUGGCCUUUCCCAGAGAGAGUGAUCCAACAGAGAGAGCAAGUAGGAUAUAGCUGCGCCUUUCAUGACAGCCUCAGAAGCCACAAAUCACCGUGUCUGCUAUGUUUUAUUCAUCAGAAGACCUCAGAUGGACAGAAUUCAACUCAUCACAUUUCUUGGUUCUUGACACGCUCUCCUCGUUAGUCCAUCACAUAUUGCACGGAUUCAUUCAUAUCGCUGCAUGUAGGCUGCUUUGACCUGCUGUAGAAUAUCUCAUUGUGUGGAUGCACAUGUGGAUCACUGAGUAUGUCAGAGCUGGCAAGAUACGUCAGAAGAGAAAGGAGAAACUCUUAACUAAAUAGAGUUGGAAAUAAAAUAAUUGUCUGUAUGGAAUAAGAUCAAAGGUCCCACAUGUUAAAGUCAACCCCAGAUGAAUUAAAGUCUUACAUGUCAAAAAAAAUUGAAACUUUUAGAAGAAAAUUAAGGUGGAUAUAUUUUAGACCUUAAGGUAGAGAAAGAUUUCUUAAAGAAGACACUUACAGGAUUGAUUACAAACAAAAAGACUGGUACAUUUGAAUGUAUUAUGUUAAGAACUUUUCCACCAAAAGAAAGCCUCGAUUUCCUCAUUUUUAAGAUGAGGAUAAUAAUCCCUACCUUAUAGAAUUCUAAUAAGAUGAAAUGAAGCAACAUAUACAAAAUACUUAGCACAGAUCCUAACACCUACAAAAUAAUAAAUGGUAACGAUUAUUAUUCUUCUCAAACAACAAUCCUAUUAUUUAUCAAAUAAUACUGAGUAAUAUGACAAGACAUAUUUAAACCACACAAGCCAUAUGCAGACAAGUGUUUAAUAUCAUAGUGAUAGUUUCAAGAGAGAGAUAAUAAUUUAUUCUACAUUUAUCAGAGGUCUAUAGCCCAGUAGUCAAUAAAUACUUAUCUAUAGUCAAUAAGUACUAUCAAGCAUCCAUGCCAGGAACCAUGCUAGGGGCUGAUUAAUUUACAUCAAUCACCAUGACUUUUUUCCCACAAACUAACACACACACAAUCUUCAUAGAUUUUUCUGUGAUCACAGCAAGGAAAAGACCUACGCAUGUUUGGAUCAUCUGUGUACAGUCCUACAGAAGAACUUUGACACUAUCAGAGACAGAAAUCUCAGAAUAGUCCAACUCUCACUUAUUUGUGCUAAUGAAAGAGUAAAGUAAAAGAGACAAUUAAAAUGGGAAAUGUGUUUUGUUUUGUUUUGGUGUUUUGUUUUACAAGUAUGCAAAAACCUCAAAUCAACCUGACCCAACAAUAAGGAAGCAAGUCAGAAAAAGGCAGUCUUCCAGAGCUGUUUGUUCAGCAGCUCAGUAAUGCCAUGAAGGUUUGCUUCCUUUCUCUGCUUUGUGUUUCUGGAGAGAGUCCGCAUACAUUUCAAUAUGGCUGACAGCAGUUCUGGAAUGUAUAAAGCCUUGCAUAAAGAAAAUGACAGUUCACUAUGAAAAUCUGAUUCGGAUGAUGUUGAAAAUAGAUUUAGUGUCUGCUCUGCCUCUCUGUUUUCUAGGACUUCACCACCUCACAGACUUUGUACACUCAUGGUUCACAACUUCCUCACUGUGUUUUCUUUAACGAGUAGAAGAUAAAUAAGCUUUAAGAAAUAGUAAAUUAUAUCAAAAUAGACUUUAUCAUAUAAUUUGCCUAAUUAUGUACCUUCAGUAAGUGUUUAUUGAACUCUGGGGUGUCAACAAUUUUUUAUUCAGCUCUCAUAAGUAAUAUUUGCUUAGAAAUCUACCCAUAAAUAGGAUAACAACUUUCAUAAAACAAGAAUUUAUACCUAGCUAACAUGAAAAAGCUAAACAUCCCUUGAAGUACAAUUCUCCUGAAAAUCAUCCCAAUAUGGUUUAUUGAGGCUGAUGGAUUUGGACACCAGCUCUUAAGAAAAAAGAUAAAGAGGAAAGCUACUGCCUGCCACAACAUAUUCUUUUUCCCAAGAGCUGGCUUCAGAAGGUGAACCCAGAGAGCAGGCUGUUUCUGUCCAUGGGAAAGCAGGAUGGUACAGCCCAUAUCUGAUUCAGAAACCAACAGUCAAACCAUUCUCCCCUGAGACUAAAGCAGAG